GCAGUGGUGGUUCAGUGGUAGAAUUCUCACCUUCCAUAUCAGAGACCUGAGUCUGAUUCCUAGCCAGUGCA
Molecule: transfer RNA, 71 nt
Filed under: Loxodonta africana (African savanna elephant)
Lineage: Eukaryota; Metazoa; Chordata; Mammalia; Proboscidea; Elephantidae
Rfam family: tRNA
About the family: Transfer RNA (tRNA) molecules are approximately 80 nucleotides in length.
Source: Rfam by way of RNAcentral